RNAcentral lists this ribosomal RNA (539 nucleotides) under Thomassinia aimsae. RNAcentral's name for it is "partial large subunit ribosomal RNA". It matches the Rfam family "Archaeal large subunit ribosomal RNA", at positions 1921 to 2694 of the family's 2987-position model. Lineage: Eukaryota; Metazoa; Arthropoda; Malacostraca; Decapoda; Callianideidae. The record is from RNAcentral.
GUCUGGUUGAUUUUAAAACCAGUCCAGCCUGCCCACUGAAACUCUUAAAGGGCCGCAGUAUCCUAACUGUGCAAAGGUAGCAUAGUAAUUAGUCUCCUAAUUAGAGACUUGUAUGAACGGCUAGACAAGAAAUUAAUUGUCUUUUUAUCAAAAACGAAGUUCACCUUUAAGUGAAAAGGCUUAAAUAAUUAAAUAGGACGACAAGACCCUAUAAAUCUUUACAUUAAAAAUAACUUUACUCAUUUAUACAUGUUUAACAUUAAAUUUAUCCUACAAUGUUUUGUUGGGGCGACAAAAGCAUAUUAAACACCUGCCAUUUUUCACCAACAACCUAUUUUUGAAACACCACCGAUCCUUAUUAAAGAUCCAAAGAAAAGUUACUUUAGGGAUAACAGCGUAAUCCCCUUUGAGAGCCCUAAUCGACAAGGGGGUUUGCGACCUCGAUGUUGAAUUAAUUUACCUCAUCAGCGCAGAAGCUAAUAAAGGAGGUCUGUUCGACCUUUAAAUAAUUACAUGAUUUGAGUUCAAACCGGUGCAAA